RNAcentral lists this ribosomal RNA (491 nucleotides) under uncultured bacterium. RNAcentral's name for it is "partial 16S ribosomal RNA". It matches the Rfam family "Bacterial small subunit ribosomal RNA", at positions 29 to 507 of the family's 1533-position model. The record is from RNAcentral.
AGUGAACGCUGGCGGUAGGCCUAACACAUGCAAGUCGAACGGCAGCACAGUAAGAGCUUGCUCUUACGGGUGGCGAGUGGCGGACGGGUGAGGAAUACAUCGGAAUCUACUUUUUCGUGGGGGAUAACGUAGGGAAACUUACGCUAAUACCGCAUACGACCUACGGGUGAAAGCAGGGGAUCUUCGGACCUUGCGCGAUUGAAUGAGCCGAUGUCGGAUUAGCUAGUUGGCGGGGUAAAGGCCCACCAAGGCGACGAUCCGUAGCUGGUCUGAGAGGAUGAUCAGCCACACUGGAACUGAGACACGGUCCAGACUCCUAUGGGAGGCAGCAGUGGGGAAUAUUGGACAAUGGCGCAAGCCUGAUCCAGCCAUACCGCGUGGGUGAAGAAGGCCUUCGGGUUGUAAAGCCCUUUUGUUGGGAAAGAAAAGCAGCAGGUUAAUACCCCGCUGUUCUGACGGUACCCAAAGAAUAAGCACCGGCUAACUUCGUG